GACGAACGCUGGCGGCGUGCUUAACACAUGCAAGUCGAGCGAAGAGCGAUGGAAGCUUGCUUCUAUCAAUCUUAGUGGCGAACGGGUGAGUAACGCGUAAUCAACCUGCCCUUCAGAGGGGGACAACAGUUGGAAACGACUGCUAAUACCGCAUACGAUCUAAUCUCGGCAUCGAGGAUAGAUGAAAGGUGGCCUCUACAUGUAAUCUAUCACUGAAGGAGGGGAUUGCGUCUGAUUAGCUAGUUGGAGGGGUAACGGCCCACCAAGGCGAUGAUCAGUAGCCGGUCUGAGAGGAUGAACGGCCACAUUGGGACUGAGACACGGCCCAGACUCCUACGGGAGGCAGCAGUGGGGAAUCUUCCGCAAUGGACGAAAGUCUGACGGAGCAACGCCGCGUGAGUGAUGACGGCCUUCGGGUUGUAAAGCUCUGUUAAUCGGGACGAAAGGCCUUCUUGCGAAUAGUGAGAAGGAUUGACGGUACCGGAAUAGAAAGCCACGGCUAACUACGUG
Molecule: ribosomal RNA, 510 nt
Filed under: uncultured bacterium
Lineage: Bacteria
Description: partial 16S ribosomal RNA
Rfam family: Bacterial small subunit ribosomal RNA
Source: RNAcentral